Molecule: ribosomal RNA, 492 nt
Filed under: Theileria ovis
Lineage: Eukaryota; Apicomplexa; Aconoidasida; Piroplasmida; Theileriidae
Description: SSU rRNA
Rfam family: Eukaryotic small subunit ribosomal RNA
Source: RNAcentral
CUUGUAUAUUGGAAUGAUGGGAAUUUAAACCUCUUCCAGAGUAUCAAUUGGAGGGCAAGUCUGGUGCCAGCAGCCGCGGUAAUUCCAGCUCCAAUAGCGUAUAUUAAAAUUGUUGCAGUUAAAAAGCUCGUAGUUGAAUUUCUGCUGCAUUGCUUUUGCUCCUUUACGAGUCUUUGCAUUGUGGCUUAUUUCGGACUUUGUUUUACAAUGUCCGGAUGUUUACUUUGAGAAAAUUAGAGUGCUCAAAGCAGGCUUUCGCCUUGAAUAGUUUAGCAUGGAAUAAUAAAGUAGGACUUUGGUUCUAUUUUGUUGGUUUUAGGUACCAAAGUAAUGGUUAAUAGGAACAGUUGGGGGCAUUCGUAUUUAACUGUCAGAGGUGAAAUUCUUAGAUUUGUUAAAGACGAACUACUGCGAAAGCAUUUGCCAAGGAUGUUUUCAUUAAUCAAGAACGAAAGUUAGGGGAUCGAAGACGAUCAGAUACCGUCGUAGUCU